UGGGGAAUAUUGCACAAUGGGCGAAAGCCUGAUGCAGCGACGCCGCGUGAGGGAUGACGGCCUUCGGGUUGUAAACCUCUUUCAGUAGGGACGAAGCGCAAGUGACGGUACCUGCAGAAGAAGCACCGGCUAACUACGUGCCAGCAGCCGCGGUAAUACGUAGGGUGCGAGCGUUGUCCGGAAUUACUGGGCGUAAAGAGCUCGUAGGCGGUUUGUCACGUCGUCUGUGAAAUCCUAGGGCUUAACCCUGGACGUGCAGGCGAUACGGGCUGACUUGAGUACUACAGGGGAGACUGAAAUUUCUGGUGUAGCGGUGGAAUGAACAGAUAUCAGGAAGAACACGGAUGGCGAAGCAGGUCUCUGGGUAGUAACUGACGCUGAGGAGCGAAAGCAUGGGUAGCGAACAGG
This 408-nucleotide ribosomal RNA is filed under the name bacterium. RNAcentral describes it as "partial 16S ribosomal RNA". It matches the Rfam family "Bacterial small subunit ribosomal RNA", at positions 355 to 776 of the family's 1533-position model. The record is from RNAcentral.